Chinchilla lanigera (long-tailed chinchilla) is the source of this 817-nucleotide long non-coding RNA. RefSeq lists it as uncharacterized. NCBI's taxonomy places the organism in Eukaryota, Metazoa, Chordata, Mammalia, Rodentia, Chinchillidae. The record is from RefSeq and is a predicted model, not a curated record. The transcript has 3 exons.
UGCAGUGGAAGGGGAGCAGCGCGCCCCUGGGGACCGCUCGGCCUCGGGCAACUGUCCAGUCCUGGUGCUGCGAGUGUGUGCUCGGCCCACGCCCCGGCCCCAGCACCCGAGCCUGGUGGGCCAGGGUGCGCCGCAGGCUCAUCCGUAGACCCCACACAGCCGCGAGGCCCCUCCCUGCGCCUGUGCGCUCCCUGACUCCACUUUGCCGCAGUCUCGCCGCGAGGCGGCGCCCGCGCCUCGCUCUCUGCAGGUGCCUCUGCAGUUCCGUGCCGCGGCUGCACACAAGUGCGCGCUGAAACGUCUGCAGACCCACUGGGGAGCGGCGUCCAGGCGCGGGGGUGAGAGCGCUCCCCCUCCCUCCCAGAACCUCUGCGCGGUCAUCGCGGCCAGGACUCAUAGCCCCGUCCUUUCGCCCAGUGGGCCUGUGCUGGAACUGAGGCGUGGUCACGGGCGGGGUGCUGGGUCCCGGCUUCCAGCCCUGCCUCUGCCCGGUGACCGCGUGUACGUCGGAGUACAGGAUACCCUGGGAGGACCUGCUACCCCUGGAUGGAAGGAGCUAGGGCAGCAGAGCCCACACGCCAACCACAUCGGGUGCGGUUGUACAGGCUUUCCUAUGGAUGUGUUUCCAGCUCAUCUGGCGAUGUGGCAUCUGCAGUUUUGUAAAGAGCUGCAAAGCUGCCUCCUAAGGCGACCACACUGAGCAGGAGGUAACCAGAAAAGGGCCGGGAAACAAGGUCAGGGCUGAGUGCCAAGGCCACACAGUGUCCUUUGUCCACGAAGGAACAGCCAGGCGAACAGGACGUGGACACAACAUGAC